Molecule: ribosomal RNA, 390 nt
Filed under: Triticum aestivum (bread wheat)
Lineage: Eukaryota; Viridiplantae; Streptophyta; Magnoliopsida; Poales; Poaceae
Description: partial small subunit ribosomal RNA
Source: RNAcentral
AUGACUGUGUUUUGUGCAGCGGCACAGACGGAUGGAUGGGAUAUUAGGCUUACAUGUCAGCCGCCGAACUCACCUGAUUUGAACAUUCUUGACUUAGGAUUCUUUGCUGCACUUCAGGCUCUUUUUGAGAAGAUGUCCCCUGGUAAAAUUGCUGAUAUUGUUGCAAAGGUGAAAAAAGCAUAUGACACCUACCCGGCUGAGAGAAGCAACCGUAUUUUUCUUACCCUUCAGUCAUGCAUGUGCGAGGUACUGAAGCAGAAAGGAGGUGACCGGUACAAGGUUCCGCACAUGAGGAAGUCAUUUCUGGCGGCACUCGAAAUGCUUCCGGACGUAGUACCCUGCGAUGCUGAUGUUGUAAUUGCUGCUAUUGAAGCCCUUCCAGAUGCUUGA